This is an RNA transcript of Amphimedon queenslandica, 1323 nucleotides long. It is a transcript of the gene named scavenger receptor cysteine-rich type 1 protein M130-like, with no coding region annotated. Lineage: Eukaryota; Metazoa; Porifera; Demospongiae; Haplosclerida; Niphatidae. The transcript is spliced from 7 exons. The record is from RefSeq and is a predicted model, not a curated record.
UGCUAGUUUGCCAUAUAAUCUAUCAGUGUUUGAACUUGUCACUGUGAAAAUGAGUGUAAAGUUUCUUCUAUUUCUCCUCUCAAUUCAAAUGGCAUAUUUUUUGGCAAUUGCUUGUACAACUGGGCAAGUAAGAUUGGCUAAUGGUGCUACUUCUAAUCAAGGUCGUGUUGAAAUAUGUAUCAAUGGAGUGUGGGGCACAGUUUGUGAUGACUUUUGGGUAACUAAUAAUAAUGCAAGAGUUGUAUGUAGACAAUUGGGAUACAGUACUGAUGGGGCUAGAGCUUUUACACAUGCUUAUUAUGGCCAGGGCACUGGUCCUAUAGUUUUAGAUAAUGUGGUCUGCUCUGGUAAUGAAUCUAACCUACUGGCUUGCUCAUCAUAUAUUCUUGGAACUCAUAACUGUGAUCAUUCAGAAGAUGUAGGAGUGUCAUGCUCUUCUUUACCAGCAUCUUACCCAUUUUGUUCUUCCUCAACUUGUGACUGUUCUUAUCAGAGUAGUGUUAAUGUCAGCACCUUAAUAGCCACUGCUACUCCUAAUGCUGUAGGAGGUACAGCAGCAGCAAAAGCAUCAGCAAUUGUACUGGCUGUACUACUAUUGAUACUGAUCAUCAUAAUAUCACUAAUGUCACUGUCUCUCAUUUAUUACUACAGAACAAGAAAGGCUGUAAAUAAUAAAGAACCAGUUUGUGAUGACAGAAGAAGUUCAACUCUUAAAGAAUUAGAAUAUGAAGAUGUAGCAAAUAGUGAAGUUGUAUUUAACAUGAGUUAUGAUGGUCGACAAGACUCAUUAGGCAGUGCAUCACUCCCAUUGCCACCUAUUCCUGAAGAUCUAUAUGAUAGGAUUUAUACUGAAAUUAAAGAUUGUUAUUUAUGAAGAACAACUGCAAAAUAAUUGGCAUAUUAAAACUGAAAAAAUAGAGAAAACUAUUUCAUUUAUUAACAUAUAGCAAUAGUACUUGCAUGUCUUAGAUAAUGCCACGUGUUUUACAUAGCUCAAUACAAAUUAGAAACAGGAAUGAAUGUAUCAUACAUCAGCUUAUUCAACACACCCCUCCACAAUCAACUCCCUCGUAGCUUGUGCUUGUUAUUAUGAAGUUUCUUCUAUUUCUUUUCUCAAUUCAGGUGUCAUGCUUUAUUGUAAAUGCUUGUACAACUGGGGAAGUAAGAUUGGUCAAUGGUGCUACUCCUAAUCAAGGACGUGUUGAGAUAUGUAUCAAUGGAGUGUGGGGCACAGUUUGUGAUGACUUUUGGACUAAUAAUAAUGCCAAAGUUGUUUGUAGACAAUUGGGAUACAGUACUGAUGGUGAGUUGGCUCUCUGUCUC